CAGCAGCCACGGUAAUACGGAGGGUGCAAGCGUUAAUCGGAAUUACUGGGCGUAAAGCGCACGCAGGCGGUUUGUUAAGUCAGAUGUGAAAUCCCCGAGCUUAACUUGGGAACUGCAUUUGAAACUGGCAAGCUAGAGUCCUGUAGAGGGGGGUAGAAUUCCAGGUGUAGCGGUGAAAUGCGUAGAGAUCUGGAGGAAUACCGGUGGCGAAGGCGGCCCCCUGGACAAAGACUGACGCUCAGGUGCGAAAGCGUGGGGAGCAAACAGGAUUAGAUACCCCAGUAGUCCCUGUCUCUUAUAC
This 301-nucleotide ribosomal RNA is filed under the name uncultured bacterium. RNAcentral describes it as "partial 16S ribosomal RNA". It matches the Rfam family "Bacterial small subunit ribosomal RNA", at positions 509 to 807 of the family's 1533-position model. The record is from RNAcentral.